AUUGAACGCUGGCGGUAUGCUUAACACAUGCAAGUCGAACGGUAACAGGCCUUCGGGCGCUGACGAGUGGCGGACGGGUGAGUAACGCGUAGGAAUCUGCCUCAUAGUGGGGGACAACGUGGGGAAACUCACGCUAAUACCGCAUACGCCCUACGGGGGAAAGGACGGGGGAGUCUUCGGACCUCGCGCUAUGAGAUGAGCCUGCGUUAGAUUAGCUAGUUGGUAGGGUAAAGGCCUACCAAGGCGACGAUCUAUAGCUGGUCUGAGAGGACGAUCAGCCACACUGGGACUGAGACACGGCCCAGACUCCUACGGGAGGCAGCAGUGGGGAAUAUUGGACAAUGGGCGCAAGCCUGAUCCAGCAAUACCGCGUGAGGGAGUGAAGGCCUUCGGGUUUGGUAAACCUACCUUUUCUUGGG
RNAcentral lists this ribosomal RNA (419 nucleotides) under uncultured bacterium. Its description in RNAcentral is "bacterial SSU rRNA". It matches the Rfam family "Bacterial small subunit ribosomal RNA", at positions 30 to 444 of the family's 1533-position model. The record is from RNAcentral.